This 252-nucleotide ribosomal RNA is filed under the name uncultured bacterium. RNAcentral describes it as "partial 16S ribosomal RNA". It matches the Rfam family "Bacterial small subunit ribosomal RNA", at positions 524 to 776 of the family's 1533-position model. The record is from RNAcentral.
UACGUAGGAGACGAGCGUUGUCCGGAGUUACUGGGCGUAAAGGGUGCGCAGGCGGCCCUGCGCGUCGCGAGUGAAAUCUCCGGCUCAACUGGGAGGGUGGUCGCGAGACGGCAGGGCUUGAGGCUCGGUGAGGGGCGUGGAAUUCCGGGUGGAGCGGUGAAAUGCGUAGAGAUCCGGAGGAACACCAACGGCGUAGGCAGCGCCCUAGACGAGACCUGACGCUCAGGCACGAAAGCGCGGGGAGCGAACAGG